CAGCUUAAACAAUGAAUUUUUUCAAACAUAGAAGUUCAUGAAGUUAGAAACUCAAACAUAAAGCACUUUCAAAAAAAAAAAGACAAUACAUAUCAGCAGUAACUGGACAGUCUUUUAAUCAAGUAAUGCAUUUCUCAACUGUGCAACAUUUUGGCUACAACUUCAAACAACAACUCAACUUCAGUUUAAUGUCCUAGAUUCAAAACGAUUACAAUUAAAUAUUCAAUGAAUCAAACUCAGGAUCGAAUAGAACUAGCUCAAACAAAAAUGCGAACCGAAUCACGAACGGGCCUUAACAGUGGCUGAAAAUCAAAACUCAACAGCCUCUCAAUCAAUCCCCAUGAACGAAACCGCUCUCCGAAUUUUCCCUCUCUUUCUCGCUAUCUAUGUGUCUGUGCGACGGCGGAAUUGGGUGGUCGUUGGUUGCUAUUAGUGUUCGCCGACGAUUUGAAAGGUGAAGAAGGUGAGGUCACGGCUGAUAUUAGAGAUGAAUCAUGGUGGGGGGUCUUCAAGGUUUUAUGUUGUGUGUGUAGGUUUAGCUAUGGUAUUUGAGAUUAGGAAGAAGAAGAAGCUUGGGUGGUCGUCUUUUUGUGUUGAAGAUGAGAACUGCUUUUUGUUCUCUGCUUGUGCGCUGCUCUCUUAGGUCUAUUAGGUUAUAUUUUUUUGUCUUGUGUUCAAGAAGAAGAUGAUAGGGUUAUGGCGUGAGUAUUGGACUUGAGUUGUU
Molecule: long non-coding RNA, 724 nt
Filed under: Nicotiana benthamiana
Lineage: Eukaryota; Viridiplantae; Streptophyta; Magnoliopsida; Solanales; Solanaceae
Description: long non-coding RNA (NBEN_LNC027704)
Source: RNAcentral